Xenopus tropicalis (tropical clawed frog) is the source of this 365-nucleotide long non-coding RNA. RefSeq lists it as uncharacterized. Lineage: Eukaryota; Metazoa; Chordata; Amphibia; Anura; Pipidae. The transcript has 2 exons. The record is from RefSeq and is a predicted model, not a curated record.
CUUCAAAAACAUCUUUAUGUUUGCACAGCGAUGGCUAACAUGAAAAGCACAAGCCAUUGCGGUUGGAUGCUGGAUGCUACAGACGGACACACAGAGGUUAAAACAAAGAUUCCAAAACAGGAAAAGAUUUGAGGUGAAAUGAUUCAGAUGAUCAACUUGCCCUGUAAAUAUUUAUAUUCACAUGUACUAUCAAAACAACACCUUGGAUGAAAAACCUCAUUUUAGAAGGGGGAAAAAAAACUGAAAGUAUGGGAAUUUUUCGAUAUCCCCCGCACUGAAAAGUGGGUUUGUUAAAGCCAGAUGGAAGGGAAAGGUCAAGAAUUGAAAACAGAAACCUAAUAAAUCCAUGAUAUUUCCAAAUGAAA